RNAcentral lists this RNase P RNA (381 nucleotides) under Lysinibacillus xylanilyticus. RNAcentral's name for it is "RNase P RNA component class B". It matches the Rfam family "Bacterial RNase P class B". Rfam says of the family: Ribonuclease P (RNase P) is a ubiquitous endoribonuclease, found in archaea, bacteria and eukarya as well as chloroplasts and mitochondria. Its best characterised activity is the generation of mature 5'-ends of tRNAs by cleaving the 5'-leader elements of precursor-tRNAs. Lineage: Bacteria; Bacillati; Bacillota; Bacilli; Caryophanales; Bacillaceae. The record is from RNAcentral.
AAAUUCUGGUAAUCGCUGCGGCGCUAGACGUCGUAGAGGAAAGUCCAUGCUCGCACGGUUCUGAGAUGACCGUAGUGUUCGUGCUUACUGAAAAAAUAAGGUAAGGCAGCUGUAAAGGCUGACGGCGGAAGGAAAACCUAAGUCUUAAUGAUAUGGUUGAAACUUCCUGAAAGUGCCACAGUGACGUAGCUUGUUUGGAAACAUGCAAGGUGGAACGAGGUAAACCCCACGAGUGAGAAACCCAAAUUAUGGUAGGGGCACUCUCUUGAAGGAAUUGAACGGAUAGAGGGACAGAGUUCGCUCUGUAGAUAGAUGAUUACUACCCGGCCGUACGAGGCGAUAGCUGUUUGAGUACUCGGGAACAAAACAUGGCUUAUGGAA